UGCCAGCCUGCUGGAUGGCAUUGCCCACACUCGGCACGCGUCUCCCUCAUUUCCCAGUCACCAGCCCGCCUGCCAAUUGUCUGUGGAAGUAGCUACAGAGAUGCGGAUUUUGUGGAGAUCUCUGCCUCCCAGACAGCAGGAACUUCAGAGGCACCCAGGGAUGCUGGAGGCUGGUGGCCCAGAGGCAGAGAGGGGACAGAGGCUAGCUGCACCUCUACUGGCUGUCCCUUCUGGCUGUCUCCAUGACUGACCUCAGGAGACCCUUGGGAGGAGGAUGUGGGAGACUGAACUGUGCAGGAGAACGGAGUGUCACUACAGUUGGUGGCAGUGUGGAAGCCACGAGCACCUGGUGGGGGCGUGGUCCAGGUAACAGCCUGGACCCAAACCCUCAGCCAGCUUCAGCAGCAUCAAAGCGGUCCAGUCAGCUCCCUCUCCCUCUUGGCUCCCCCAGGCAUCGACGGUCUGCAGGAGGAGACACAGGAAUGCGUCGUCUCCCUCCUCCCUGUCACCAUUCUCUGCACCACAUCUCCCAGUAAUAAAGAACAUCCUCCUGUGGCAUCCGUACCCCUCCCAACAGUUUAGGACCAUUAUAUUAAAUAAUGAUAAUCACAA
Mastomys coucha (southern multimammate mouse) is the source of this 612-nucleotide long non-coding RNA. RefSeq lists it as uncharacterized. The record is from RefSeq and is a predicted model, not a curated record. The transcript is spliced from 4 exons. NCBI's taxonomy places the organism in Eukaryota, Metazoa, Chordata, Mammalia, Rodentia, Muridae.